RNAcentral lists this unclassified non-coding RNA (464 nucleotides) under Hevea brasiliensis (rubber tree). The record is from RNAcentral. Lineage: Eukaryota; Viridiplantae; Streptophyta; Magnoliopsida; Malpighiales; Euphorbiaceae.
GCUUCCUCUAAUAACCUCUUAUCUUCUUCUCAAAUCCAUCGUCAUCGACCCAAGGAUUUCACCCCUCAAUUCUCUUUUCCUCCUCUCGAUUCCUUCUCUAAUUCUUCUCCUAUUCGCCUCGAAACUCGAAUAGUUUUCUCCAAAAAAAGGGGCAUUUUUUGUGCUUCCACUAAUAAUGCAAAUGCUGCAAGCUCAAUUCCUUUGAAAUCUGAACAGGAUGAUUAUGUUCCCAUGCCAGUAGUUCUGAUAGACCAAGAUUCUGACUCUGAAGCAACGAUUGUACAAAUCAGCUUUGGAGAUCGUCUUGGAGCUCUCAUUGAUACGAUGAAGGCCUUGAAAGAUUUGGGAUUGGAUGUAGCAAAAGGAUCUGUUCUCACUGAAGGAUCUGUUAAGCAAACAAAAGUCUUUAUUACUCGUUUAGACAAUGGGCGAAAAGUUGAAGAUCCUGAUAUGUUAGAGAGAAU